AUGAAGCUGUCAAAAUGUGGAAGAAGAAGCUAUAGAAACGAUUCAGAACAAAAUUUACCGAAAAUUUUAGGUAGAUCCAAGAAGGCUAUUUUUACCCAAGUGAUUGAUCGUGUCUGGAAGAAAAUGAAAGGAUGGAAGGAAAAGUUUCUUUCUCGGGCUGGUAAAGAAGUCUUCAUAAAAUUAGUUGCUCAAGCCAUACCCACGUAUGUCAUGAGUUGCUUCAGGUUUCCUGAAGGGUGCUGCAACGAGAUUGAAUCUCUCUAG
This is a non-coding RNA of Vicia faba (fava bean), 264 nucleotides long. The record is from the annotation of a GenBank genome assembly. Lineage: Eukaryota; Viridiplantae; Streptophyta; Magnoliopsida; Fabales; Fabaceae.